AAUAUAUAUWUAUAAGGAUUAUAUUUAAAAUUAAAAUAUUUGGCGGCUAUUUAUAUUAAAGGGAUUUGCUUUUUUAUCGAUUUACCUCGUUUAUUAUUAUUUAACUUGUUUUUGUAUACCGUCAUCUAGAUAAUUUUUAUAAAAUUAAUUAUGAUAAUAAUGUUCUAUAUAUUAGAUCAAGGUGCAGAUAUAUUUAAUUUUAAGUUAAUGACAAUAAUUUAUUAUUACACAUAAUUUAUAUAAAUUUAUAAGAAUAGGUGGAUUUAAAUGUAAUAGAAAAAGGUUGAAAUUAAAUUAAUAGUGUACACAUCGCCCGUCAACUCU
This 324-nucleotide ribosomal RNA is filed under the name Niphargus rhenorhodanensis. RNAcentral's name for it is "partial 12S ribosomal RNA". The record is from RNAcentral. Lineage: Eukaryota; Metazoa; Arthropoda; Malacostraca; Amphipoda; Niphargidae.